UAGGGAAUCUUCGGCAAUGGACGGAAGUCUGACCGAGCAACGCCGCGUGAGUGAAGAAGGUUUUCGGAUCGUAAAGCUCUGUUGUAAGAGAAGAACGAGUGUGAGAGUGGAAAGUUCACACUGUGACGGUAUCUUACCAGAAAGGGACGGCUAACUACGUGCCAGCAGCCGCGGUAAUACGUAGGUCCCGAGCGUUGUCCGGAUUUAUUGGGCGUAAAGCGAACGCAGGCGGUUAGAUAAGUCUGAAGUUAAAGGCUGUGGCCUAACCAUAGUACGCUUUGGAAACUGUUUAACUUGAGUGCAAGAGGGGAGAGUGGAAUUCCAUGUGUAGCGGUGAAAUGCGUAGAUAUAUGGAGGAACACCGGUGGCGAAAGCGGCUCUCUGGCUUGUAACUGACGCUGAGGCUCGAAAGCGUGGGGAGCAAACAGGAUUAGAUACCCUGGUAGUCCACGCCGUAAACGAUGAGUGCUAGGUGUUAGACCCUUUCCGGGGUUUAGUGCCGCAGCUAACGCAUUAAGCACUCCGCCUGGGGAGUACGACCGCAAGGUUG
RNAcentral lists this ribosomal RNA (550 nucleotides) under uncultured bacterium. RNAcentral describes it as "bacterial SSU rRNA". It matches the Rfam family "Bacterial small subunit ribosomal RNA", at positions 355 to 896 of the family's 1533-position model. The record is from RNAcentral.